CACUACUUCGUUGUCCUUCCCCUGCUUCUGUUUUCUCUGCUGGCAUUACUUGAUGUUGGUCUUUGGCAGUCGUUUCAGUGAUUGAAAAACAGCGUUUUUGUUGCAAAAAGUCUUGAAUUUAAAAAUGGUGUAUAAGAGGAUGGCUUAUGGUCCUGUACGAUAAGUUGCCUUCUCAAUGCAGGGAGAGUCCUUGAUUGGAGCAACAGCAAAGGAUAGUGUGCUGCAGCGAAAGAGAACAGACUCCAGGUUUAAUGAAGAAAUUUGGAAUCCAAAAAGAUGGAAGCUGUAAGCCUUGGACUGUGUUAAAAUUUGUUUGAAUUAUUGGUGUGACAUACAGAAAAGGUCCAUUGUAUUGUCUCUGUUCCUGCAAUACAUAAAAGGAGAGUCUGCACAAGUGUUUUUUCCAAUAAACUUUCAUUAAUGUACAAA
Molecule: long non-coding RNA, 429 nt
Organism: Protopterus annectens (West African lungfish)
Lineage: Eukaryota; Metazoa; Chordata; Ceratodontiformes; Protopteridae
Exons: 2
Source: RefSeq, a predicted model, not a curated record